RNAcentral lists this ribosomal RNA (643 nucleotides) under Clostridium perfringens. Its description in RNAcentral is "bacterial LSU rRNA". It matches the Rfam family "Bacterial large subunit ribosomal RNA", at positions 1236 to 1891 of the family's 2925-position model. Lineage: Bacteria; Bacillati; Bacillota; Clostridia; Eubacteriales; Clostridiaceae. The record is from RNAcentral.
GCGUCGUAACCGGGCUGAAGUCGUACCGUAAGGAGCGGUGGACUGGUUACGAGUGAGAAUGUUGGCAUCAGUAGCGAGAUGUGGGUGAGAAUCCCACAGGCCGAAAACCUAAGGUUUCCUCAGGAAGGUUCGUCCGCUGAGGGUUAGUCGGGACCUAAGCCGAGGCCGAAAGGCGUAGGUGAUGGACAACUGGUUGAUAUUCCAGUACCACUACCAUCGUUAUUAUCGAUGGCGUGACGCAGGAGGAUAGUGUGUGCUAGCUAUUGGAUGCUAGUCUAAGCGUUUAGGCAGUGAGAGUAGGCAAAUCCGCUCUCAUAAUGCUGAGGCGUGAUGGGGAAGGUUCUACGGAACCGAAGUACAUGAUUCCACGCUGCCAAGAAAAGCGUCUAGAGAGAGAAGUAGUGCCCGUACCGCAAACCGACACAGGUAGGUGAGGAGAGAAUCCUAAGGCCGGCGGAAGAAUUACAGUUAAGGAACUCGGCAAAUUGACCCCGUAAGUUCGCGAGAAGGGGUGCCUACGAGAGUAGGCCGCAGAGAAUAGGCCCAAGCAACUGUUUAGCAAAAACACAGGUCUCUGCUAAAGCGUAAGCUGAUGUAUAGGGGCUGACGCCUGCCCGGUGCUGGAAGGUUAAGGGGAACACUU